GCAAUUGGCUGGAUAGUUCCAUCGGUAAAAGCAUGAGACUUUUAAUCUCAGGGUUGUGGGUUUGAGCCCCACAUUGGGCA
Molecule: non-coding RNA, 80 nt
Organism: Podarcis lilfordi (Lilford's wall lizard)
Lineage: Eukaryota; Metazoa; Chordata; Lepidosauria; Squamata; Lacertidae
Source: the annotation of a GenBank genome assembly